This 305-nucleotide ribosomal RNA is filed under the name uncultured bacterium. RNAcentral describes it as "bacterial SSU rRNA". It matches the Rfam family "Bacterial small subunit ribosomal RNA", at positions 337 to 639 of the family's 1533-position model. The record is from RNAcentral.
UCCUACGGGGGGCAGCAGUGAGGAAUAUUGGUCAAUGGGCUUACGCCUGAACCAGCCAAGUCGCGUGAGGGAAGACUGCCCUAUGGGUUGUAAACCUCUUUUGUCAGGGAGCAACGCAGGCUACGUGUAGCCGGACUGAGAGUACCUGAAGAAAAAGCAUCGGCUAACUCCGUGCCAGCAGCCGCGGUAAUACGGAGGAUGCGAGCGUUAUCCGGAUUUAUUGGGUUUAAAGGGUGCGUAGGCGGAAUGCCAAGUCAGCGGUAAAAUCGCGGGGCUCAACCUCGCUCCGCCGUUGAAACUGGCGU